This 310-nucleotide ribosomal RNA is filed under the name uncultured bacterium. RNAcentral's name for it is "partial 16S ribosomal RNA". It matches the Rfam family "Bacterial small subunit ribosomal RNA", at positions 503 to 807 of the family's 1533-position model. The record is from RNAcentral.
AAGAGACAGCAGUAGCCGCGGUAAUACAGAGGGUGCGAGCGUUAAUCGGAUUUACUGGGCGUAAAGCGUGCGUAGGCGGCUUCUUAAGUCGGAUGUGAAAUCCCUGAGCUUAACUUAGGAAUUGCAUUCGAUACUGGGAAGCUAGAGUAUGGGAGAGGAUGGUAGAAUUCCAGGUGUAGCGGUGAAAUGCGUAGAGAUCUGGAGGAAUACCGAUGGCGAAGGCAGCCAUCUGGCCUAAUACUGACGCUGAGGUACGAAAGCAUGGGGAGCAAACAGGAUUAGAUACCCGUGUAGUCCCUGUCUCUUAUAC